UGGUCAUAAGAAAAAAACACGACCCACCUUAUUUCCAACCCUAUCUCUAUCACAACCGUCCUCUUUCUUCAUCUUCUUCGCUCUUCUUUUCUUCUUCCUUUCUAUUUGUUUCUCUCUCAGACUCUCACCGUCGACGGUAUUCAAUGGUCCGACCACACUUUCUCUGAUUUGAAGGAGGUUCGAUCGAUUUCUGAGCCAAUCACCGUCGCAGGUUUUCGUUUUAGGUAUACCACAAUUACACCUCUGGCUGAUAGAGUGUUGAUCAAGAUCAAGAAUCCACAAUUACAUCUCUAAGUAGCGAAAUUAUCGGCACAUGACUCAGAUAGUAGGUAGCUAGUGAGAUUUUCCAAGGUUUUGUAAGAGCAGCCACCUAUUUGCCUUUUCCUUCAGGUGGAAUUUUGCUACCCUCAACUGCUCUCAGUAAGCCACAAAAUGGUGAGGUGGUUGCUGUUGGAGAGGGAAGGACAAUUGGGAAGAGCAAAAUAGAAAUUGGUGUCAAGACUGGAAGCCAGGUAGUGUACUCAAAGUAUGCGGGGACUGAGUUGGAGUUUAAUGGGUCAAACCAUCUGUUAAUGAAGGAAGAUGACAUUGUUGGCAUCCUGGAGGCAGAUGAUAUCAAGGAACUUAAGCCUAUGAAUGAGAGAGUCCUCAUUAAGAGUUAUGAGAUUUGCGUUUGAGUUCCAGAUUUGAAGUUGGUUUCGAUCCAUAUACCAGAUUUGAAGUCUGUUUUGGUUCUAGAUUUUUUUUUGUGGAGUUUAAAGUGUACAUGUAAUUAUAUAAGAUUUGUAUUAGAUUUUGUUCUAAGUAUACUACAAUUUAGUUCUAGAAUUAUUUUUUCAUUUGUAUCUACAUUUAUUAUCAAUAAUAAUUGAAUUGAUUAA
Long non-coding RNA from Beta vulgaris subsp. vulgaris (sugar beet), 881 nucleotides. RefSeq lists it as uncharacterized. NCBI's taxonomy places the organism in Eukaryota, Viridiplantae, Streptophyta, Magnoliopsida, Caryophyllales, Amaranthaceae. The record is from RefSeq and is a predicted model, not a curated record. The transcript is spliced from 5 exons.